This 3334-nucleotide long non-coding RNA is filed under the name Gossypium barbadense (sea-island cotton). RNAcentral's name for it is "long non-coding RNA (GBAR_LNC014357)". The record is from RNAcentral. Lineage: Eukaryota; Viridiplantae; Streptophyta; Magnoliopsida; Malvales; Malvaceae.
AUUAAUUGAGCUUUACCAAACAUUUAAUGCAGAGGCCUUUCUUUCCUUUUGCAAACAGUAGGUUAAAUUCUUCUAAAUUAUGUUGGUAACCUUGUAUUAUUCAUAAUUAUUCAUUAUUCCCCACUAAUGUACAUUUUAGGUAAUAAACUAAUAAUACGGUGGAAAGGGGAGAGGAGGCUUUUAGUAGUUUUGACUUUUGAGUGUCAACCUAAGCAAUUGAAUUGAGUUUUGGUCGGUGGAAGGAUUUGGAUACAUACCGUUGAUGAUGAAACGCAUUCAUUUUUCAGGAUUGUAGUGCUGAAAGCAUUUAGUAUCAAGGAUUUUAGGUGUUGUUUGGAGGAUGCCCGAGAGUUGUUUGAUAAAAUGCCUGAGAAAGGUUGUUUGCCGAAUGAGUUUAGUUUUGGGAUUUUGGUUCGUGGGUAUUGUAGGUUUGGCCUUGCUAAUAAAGGGUUGGAGCUUUUGGAUGAGAUGAGAAGUUCUGGGAUUUUUCCUAACAGAGUUGUGUAUAAUACAUUGAUUUCAAGUUUUUAUAAGGAAGGUAAAACUGGUGAUGUUGAAAAAUUGGUGGAAAGAAUGAAAGAGGAUGGUGUAAGGGAUGUUCAUAAUUAAACCCUAUAAAAUUUAAAGAAUUAAACAGUCACUUGCUCAUUUUCCAUAUUCAUAAUUAAUAUUCUCACAUUAUUGUGCAUAUAUAUUUCUUUCUCUGCUUAUUAUUUAUUUUACUUUUUGAUGCAGCUGACAUGCAAGCAGCAGCCUCUAAUGUUCUACCAACUUUAUCUCUGGUAAGCAUAUAUAUAUAUAUCUUAUAAGCCAUGCAAGUAUAGACAUAUAUAUAUAUUUAUAUAUGGUUUAUAAACAGUUGAAAGCCUAGUUGUUGAUUAUGAUGACUGUAAGGAACUUAGGUUUCAGUACUGGACUCCUUUUUAACUAUUUUAUUGCAGGAAAGGUUUAUUUUUGUAUUAUAUAUGUUUCAUAAAACUCUACAUAUAGUUUUCAUCCCUUCUCUCAUCUACUUUGGAUAUAUUUGUUCAAUUCAAUAACUAGAUAGAUGGAGUAGUUGCCUUUUGAUUUGAGCUUUUAUUUUUUAAACACUUAUCAAGAAUAUAAAAAAAAAAGCAAGGGAUGUUGGUGGAAGCAAAGGCCUUGGUUGAGUCCAUGGAGAAAAAUGGUGAUUUGAUGAAUUUAGAUAGUUAUAAUAUUUGGUCGUUGGGGUUGCUAAGAAAUGCAAAGUUAGUAGAGACUCAGUUGGUACUUAAAGAUAUGGUAGAUAAAGGUGUAGAACCUAAUAUUUACUCGUAUAACAUUGUGAUGGAUGGUCUAUGCAAGAAUGGGAUGCUUUUUGAUGCGAGAAUUGUGAUGGGUGUUAUUGUAAGGAGUGGUCUUUCCCCUGAUACAGUAACUUAUAGCACUUUACUGCACGACUACUGUAGUAAAGGGAAAUUAUCUAAAGCAAAUGCUAUUCUAAAUGAAAUGAUGAGAAAUGGUUGUGUCCCUAAUACUUAUAAUUGUAAUAUUUUGCUGCAUAGCCUAUGGAAAGAGGGUAAAAUGUUGGAGGCAAAAGAGUUAUUGCAAAAGAUGAAUGAAAAAGGCUAUGGUGUGGAUACUGUGACCUGCAAUAUUGUAAUUGAUGGUUUGUGUAAAAGUGGGAAAUUGGACAAAGCUAUGGAAGUUGCACAUGAGAUGUGGACACAUGGAAGUGCUGCUCUAGGUAACCUUGGGAACUCAUUUAUUGGCCUAGUUGAUGAUGUUAGCCGUAGCAUGAGAUGUAUUCCUGAUAGUUACAUAUUCUAUCAUAAUUAGUGCUCUAUGCAAAGUAGGAAAGAUAGAUGAAGCUAAAAAGAAAUUCAGAGAGAUGAUGGGUAAAAGCUUGCAACCCGAUGCGGUUAUUUUUGAUACUUUCAUCCAUAUUUUCUGUAAAGAAGGAAGGAAAGAUUUCAUCUGCAUUUCGAGUUCUCAAGGACAUGGAGAAAAAAGGAUGUAAUAAGAGUGUACAGACUUAUAAUUCACUAAUACUUGGCUUAGGAAGUAAAAAUCAAAUAUUUGAAAUUUAUGGACUUGUCGAUGAGAUGAGAGAAAGAGGGAUUACUCCUAAUGUUUGCAUAUACAAUAACAUUAUUCAGUCUUUGCAAAAAUGGGAAAAUCCAGGACACUACUUCUAUCUUGGAUGACGUGCUGUAAAUGGGUAUAAAUCCUAAUAUUUCUACCUUCAGGAUGUUAAUAGAAGCUUUCUGCAAGGCAAGUGAUUUUGGAGUAGCGAAGGAGUUAUUCGAGAUUGGUCUAUAUGUGGUCACAAAGAGUUUACAUACAGUUUCUAGUACCCUCACGCACAAACAAAUGAACCCAGAUAGUUAUUAUUUUCUUAGCUAAGAACAAGAUGAGAAGGAAAAACAGAAACUACUUUGAUACAAUUCAAACACAUAUAUAGAGUGGAAAAAGAAGGGUUUUGACUUACCAAGUGAUCAAAUUUGAGAACAAGAUUGGUAGGAUGAGUCGAAAAAUAGAGUUUCUUUGAGUCUGCUUGUUAUUGGUGCUGUGUUUUUUCCGGGAGAAGUGGGAAAAGAGGAGAGUGAGAAAGUAGGAGUUGAAGAGCGGAAGAGGUUUUCAGCAAAAUUUGGCUGCCAAAUCUAAAGAAAAAUAAGAAUGGGAAAGAAAUUAGUUUAACUUUCAAGGAUAAAAUGGUAAAAUAAUAAAUAAAAGUAAUGGUAUUUUUGUCUGUUAAAAAAUACCAAUAUCUCAGUUAAUUUCAAUUGCUGCUUUCAUCUCCAGUUGAUUUGGGGCUGACCAGCGUGGUGGAGAUUGCUUCUCAUGGACUAGCAUGCUGAACCAAAGGGCUGACCAGUGAGGUUGGUACCAUAUUUUCUCCCCAACUGCACCUCACUGGCAUGCAAAGCCAAACCAAAGGAAGCCUAAGGAUUGGUUGGUUGAAUUGGUAUAGCUUUGAUGGAUUUGUUUUGCCAAAUUUAUGGAAAUGUUAGAAUGGAAGUUUAGAAAUAGUUGAAUAAAUGUUUAGACAUGCUUUUAGACUAGUUUUGUAUAGGUUUAAGUCUGCAUUUAUGCACUAAAUAAACUAAUAGUUUGGAUUGGCAUGAAAUAGGUACCAAAUGACUUAUUUUUGCACUAAACAGAAUCCUUGUCUCGACAACGACCAAUAGUUUGUAACAUCCCGACAUCAAGUGGUCCAAUGUCGUGACGUGGCACACUGUUUGGCGAUGUCACGACAUGGACGAAGUCACGUGGUGAUGUCGUUUGGAAAUUUUGAAUUCUUUGAAGUGUAGUCCUUAUUCAAUCCUAGGUCAACUUCAGAGCUUACGUAACCUCGCAUAAGACUCGGGAA